ACGGCGAGUGAAGCGGCAAUAGCUCAAAUUUGAAAUCUGGCUCCUUUUAGGGGUCCGAGUUGUAAUUUGCAGAGGGUGCUUUGGCGUUGGUAGCGGUCUAAGUUCCUUGGAACAGGACAUCGCAGAGGGUGAGAAUCCCGUUUGUGGUCGCAUGCCUUCGCCGUGUAAAGCCCCUUCGACGAGUCGAGUUGUUUGGGAAUGCAGCUCUAAAUGGGAGGUAAAUUUCUUCUAAAGCUAAAUACUGGCCAGAGACCGAUAGCGCACAAGUAGAGUGAUCGAAAGAUGAAAAGCACUUUGGAAAGAGAGUCAAACAGCACGUGAAAUUGUUGAAAGGGAAGCGCUUGCAGCCAGACUUGCCCGUAGUUGCUCACCUAGGCUUUUGCCUGGGGCAUUCUUCUGCGGGCAGGCCAGCAUCAGUUUGGGCGGUCGGAUAAAGGUCUCUGUCAUGUAGCUUCCUUCGGGAAGAACUUAUAGGGGAGACGAAAUGCGACCAGCCUGGACUGAGGUCCGCGCAUCUGCUAGGAUGCUGGCGUAAUGGCUGUAAGCGGCCCGUCUUGAAACACGGACCAAGGAGUCUAACAUCUAUGCGAGUGUUUGGGUGUCAAGCCCGAACGCGUAAUGAAAGUGAACGGAGGUGGGAACCCUUUGGGUGCACCAUCGACCGAUCCUGAUGUCUUCGGAUGGAUUUGAGUAAGAGCAUAGCUGUUGGGACCCGAAAGAUGGUGAACUAUGCUUGAAUAGGGUGAAGCCAGAGGAAACUCUGGUGGAGGCUCGCAGCGGUUCUGACGUGCAAAUCGAUCGUCAA
Molecule: ribosomal RNA, 805 nt
Filed under: Neottiosporina cylindrica
Lineage: Eukaryota; Fungi; Ascomycota; Dothideomycetes; Pleosporales; Massarinaceae
Description: partial 28S large subunit ribosomal RNA
Rfam family: Eukaryotic large subunit ribosomal RNA
Source: RNAcentral